Molecule: ribosomal RNA, 520 nt
Filed under: uncultured bacterium
Lineage: Bacteria
Description: bacterial SSU rRNA
Rfam family: Bacterial small subunit ribosomal RNA
Source: RNAcentral
GUUUGAUCAUGGCUCAGAUUGAACGCUGGCGGAAUGCUUUACACAUGCAAGUCGAACGGCAGCACGGGGGCAACCCUGGUGGCGAGUGGCGAACGGGUGAGUAAUACAUCGGAACGUGCCCAGUCGUGGGGGAUAACGCAGCGAAAGCUGUGCUAAUACCGCAUACGAUCUAUGGAUGAAAGCGGGGGACCGAAAGGCCUCGCGCGAUUGGAGCGGCCGAUGGCAGAUUAGGUAGUUGGUGGGGUAAAGGCUCACCAAGCCGACGAUCUGUAGCUGGUCUGAGAGGACGACCAGCCACACUGGGACUGAGACACGGCCCAGACUCCUACGGGAGGCAGCAGUGGGGAAUUUUGGACAAUGGGCGCAAGCCUGAUCCAGCCAUUCCGCGUGCAGGAUGAAGGCCCUCGGGUUGUAAACUGCUUUUGUACGGAACGAAAAGGCUUCUUCUAAUACAGGGGGCUCAUGACGGUACCGUAAGAAUAAGCACCGGCUAACUACGUGCCAGCAGCCGCGGUAAUAU